This is a small nuclear RNA of Rattus norvegicus (Norway rat), 168 nucleotides long. Ensembl annotates it as U2 spliceosomal RNA. Lineage: Eukaryota; Metazoa; Chordata; Mammalia; Rodentia; Muridae. The record is from Ensembl.
AUCGCUUCUCGGCCUUUUGGCUAAGAUCAAGUGUAGAUACUAACCCUCUAUCAUAUGUGUAAUUGGUGAUACAAUUCUUUUCCACUCUGUACCCUGCUACUUUGCCCAAAUGAUGGUGUUCUUUGCUACUCAGAAGCAUUUUUUUUUUGCUUCUAGGAAGUUCUAUUA